UGGGGAAUAUUGCACAAUGGGCGCAAGCCUGAUGCAGCCAUGCCGCGUGUAUGAAGAAGGCCUUCGGGUUGUAAAGUACUUUCAGCGGGGAGGAAGGGAGUAAAGUUAAUACCUUUGCUCAUUGACGUUACCCGCAGAAGAAGCACCGGCUAACUCCGUGCCAGCAGCCGCGGUAAUACGGAGGGUGCAAGCGUUAAUCGGAAUUACUGGGCGUAAAGCGCACGCAGGCGGUUUGUUAAGUCAGUUGUGAAAUCCCCGGGCUCAACCUGGGAACUGCAUCUGAUACUGGCAAGCUUGAGUCUCGUAGAGGGGGGUAGAAUUCCAGGUGUAGCGGUGAAAUGCGUAGAGAUCUGGAGGAAUACCGGUGGCGAAGGCGGCCCCCUGGACGAAGACUGACGCUCAGGUGCGAAAGCGUGGGGAGCAAACAGG
This 429-nucleotide ribosomal RNA is filed under the name Chloroflexota bacterium. RNAcentral describes it as "Chloroflexi bacterium partial 16S ribosomal RNA". It matches the Rfam family "Bacterial small subunit ribosomal RNA", at positions 355 to 776 of the family's 1533-position model. The record is from RNAcentral. Lineage: Bacteria; Bacillati; Chloroflexota.